Phodopus roborovskii (desert hamster) is the source of this 358-nucleotide long non-coding RNA. RefSeq lists it as uncharacterized. NCBI's taxonomy places the organism in Eukaryota, Metazoa, Chordata, Mammalia, Rodentia, Cricetidae. The transcript has 2 exons. The record is from RefSeq and is a predicted model, not a curated record.
CUUCAACUUCAACUCUGUGGGAAGUCCCCUCGGUCCAUGCAGGUCUUAUUAGUCUUGCUCCAGAAACCCACAGCCUUGCUGUCAUAACAAAGGAAGUGUGCGCUUGUGAGGACCACUUUGCAAACUGAUGCAGCCAGAGAAGGGCACCUUGCUGCGUACUAAUGAUGCUUUAAUCACAUGUUCCUGACGUGACUGCCUAGGGAGAGUCGAGCAGUUUGUGCUGAUCUCAGUGCAGCUGAGGAAGACUGGGCCAAAGGGAAGCAUAAGACAAGAUGGAGGUCAUGAACCAUAUGGUAUCACCAAGGAAAUCAUAAUGAUGUUUGAUAUUAAAACCAGAAAAAUUAACCACUUUCAAGAA